This 1408-nucleotide ribosomal RNA is filed under the name uncultured Bordetella sp. RNAcentral's name for it is "partial 16S-23S ribosomal RNA intergenic spacer". It matches the Rfam family "Bacterial small subunit ribosomal RNA". The record is from RNAcentral. Lineage: Bacteria; Pseudomonadati; Pseudomonadota; Betaproteobacteria; Burkholderiales; Alcaligenaceae.
GGUUUGAUCAUGCUCAGAUUGAGCGCUGGCGGGAUGCUUUACAUGCAAGUCGAACGGCAGACUGUCUGCGGUGGCGAGUGGCGAACGGGUGAGGAAUGUAUCGGAACGUGCCUAGUAGCGGGGGAUAACUACGCGAAAAGGUAGCUAAUACCGCAUACGUGAGCCUCGGGGAAAGUGGGGGACCUUCGGGCCUCGCACUAUUAGAGCGGCCGACGGAUUAGCUAGUUGCGUGUUCACCACCAAGGCGCGACGAUCCGUAGCUGGUUUGAGAGGACGACCAGCCACACCGGGACCGAGACACGGCCCAGACUCCUACGGAGGCAGCAGUGGGGAAUUUCGCACAAAUAAACCUGAUCCAGCCAUCCCGCGCAGCGAUGAAGGCCUUCGAAGAAGCACCUUUGCAGGAGGAAACUGCAUGACACCCCGUGCAACUGACGGUACCUGCAUAUCAGCACUGGCUAACUACGCCAGCAGCUGCGGCAAUACGUAGGGUGCAAGCGUUAAUCGGAAUUUUGACGGGCGUAAAGCGUGUGAGAGAAGUCGGAAAGAAAGACGAAUCCCAGAGCGAACUUUUGAAACUAAUUUUAACUACUGAGCUGGAGUGUCAGAGGGAGGUGAAUCUCGCGUAGCAGUGAAAUGCAGAUAUGCGGAUGGAACACCGAUUACACAUGCUUCCGGAGGCACACUGACGCUCAUGCACGAAAGCGCGGAGCAAACGAUUAGAUGUCUGGUAGUCCACGCCCAAACAUGUCAAAUUAGUUGUUGGGCUCGGGCUCUUGUGGAAAAGCAGCUAACGAUGAAGUUGACCGCCUGUAUAAAUGGCCUAAAGAUUAAACUCAAAGGAAUUGACGGGGACCGCACAAGCGGUGGAUGAUGUGAUUAAUUCGACAAACGCGAAAACCUUAAUGCUAAAUUUUUGACAUGUUCGAAUCCCGAAGAGAUUUGAGUGUUUUGCAAGAGAACCGGAAUACAGGUUAGUAUGGUCAUAAUGUCAGCUCAGUCGUGAGAUGCUGGGUUAAGUCCCGCAACGAGCGCAACCCCAUCACAGUUGCUACGAAAGGGCACCUGAAGGCACUGCCGCGACAAACCGAGGAAGGGGAUGUCAAGUCCUCAUGGCCUCUGCAGGGCUUUCACGUCAUACAAUGGCUGCACAGAGGGUCGCCAGCCCGCGAGGGAGCCAAUCCCAGAAACCCGACGUAGCCCGGACCGCAGUCUGCAACCUGACCCGCAGCGGCCGGAAUCCGCCAGCAAUCGCGGAUCAGCAUGUCGCGGUGAAUACGUUCCGGCCCGCGGCGACACCGCCCGGGUCACACCAUGGGAGUGGGUUUUACCAGAAGUAUUAGCCUAACCGUAAGGAGGGCUGAUUACCACGGUAGGAUUCAUGACUGGGGUGAAGUCGUAACAAGGU